GAUGAACGCUGGCGGCGUGCCUAAUACAUGCAAGUCGAGCGAACAGACGAGGAGCUUGCUCCUCUGACGUUAGCGGCGGACGGGUGAGUAACACGUGGAUAACCUACCUAUAAGACUGGGAUAACUUCGGGAAACCGGAGCUAAUACCGGAUAAUAUAUUGAACCGCAUGGUUCAAUAGUUAAAGACGGUUUUGCUGUCACUUAUAGAUGGAUCCGCGCCGCAUUAGCUAGUUGGUAAGGUAACGGCUUACCAAGGCAACGAUGCGUAGCCGACCUGAGAGGGUGAUCGGCCACACUGGAACUGAGACACGGUCCAGACUCCUACGGGGGGCAGCAGUAGGGAAUCUUCCGCAAUGGGCGAAAGCCUGAAGGAGCAACGCCGCGUGAGUGAUGAAGGUCUUCGGAUCGUAAAACUCUGUUAUUAGGGAAGAACAAAUGUGUAAGUAACUAUGCACGUCUUGACGGUACCUAAUCAGAAAGCCACGGCUAACUACGUG
Molecule: ribosomal RNA, 497 nt
Filed under: uncultured bacterium
Lineage: Bacteria
Description: partial 16S ribosomal RNA
Rfam family: Bacterial small subunit ribosomal RNA
Source: RNAcentral